UCGUCAUAUGCUUGUCUCAAAGAUUAAGCCAUGCAUGUGUAGGUAUAACCGUUUAUACCGGGAAACUGCGAAUGGCUCGGUAAAUCAGUUAUAGUUUAUUUGAUAGUGCCCACUACUCGGAUAACCGUAGUAACGCUAGAGCUAAUACGUGCGUAAAUCCCGACUCUAGGAAGGGACGUAUUUAUUAGAUAAAAGGCUGACCGGGUUUACCCGAUCUGCGUUGAAUCAUGGUAACUUCACGGAUUGCAUGGCCUUCGUGCCGGCGACGUGUCAUUCAAGUUUCUGCCCCAUCAUGGUUUCGACUGUAAUGUAUUGGAUUACAGUGCCGAUAACGGGUAGCGGAGGAUUAGGGUUCGAUUCCGGAGAGGGCGCCUGAGAAAUGGCGACCACAUCCAAGGAAGGCAGCAGGCGCGCAAAUUACCCAAUCCCAACUCAGGGAGGUAGUGACAAGAAAUAACAAUGCGGAGCCACAGGUUCUGCAAUUGGCAUGAGUACAAUUUAAACCACUUAACGAGUACCUAUUGGAGGGCAAGUCUGGUGCCAGCAGCCGCGGUAAUUCCAGCUCCAAUAGCGUAUAUGUAAGUUGUUGCGAUUAAAAAGCCCGUAGCUGAACCUCGGGCAGCCCGGACGGUCCGCCUUUUGGUGUGUACUGUCUUGGGCUGCCUUUCUGCUGGGGACCGUAUCCUUGCAUUUACUUGCCGGGAACGGGACCUAGCAAGGUUACUUUGAGUAAAAUAGAGUGUUCAAAGCAAGCAAUCGCUCUGAAUACACUAGCAUGGGAUAACACGACAUGACCGAUGGUCUAUCUUGUUGGCCUGUAGACCCGUUGGUAAUGGCUAAUAGGGACGGUCGGGGGCAUUCGUAUUUCGCUGUCAGAGGUGAAAUUCUUGGAUUUGCGAAAGACGAACUACUGCGAAAGCAUUUGUCAAGGACGCUUUCAUUAGUCAAGGACGAAAGUCGGGGGAUCGAAGACGAUUAGAUACCGUCGUAGUCUCGACCAUAAACGAUGCCAAUUAGGGAUCGGAGGGCGGUUUAUUUAUGCCUCCUCCGGCACCUUCCGCGAAAGCAAAAUGUAUGGGCUUCGGGGGGAGUAUGGUCGCAAGGCUGAAACUUAAAGGAAUUGACGGAACGGCACCACCAGGCGUGGAGCCUGCGGCUUAAUUUGACUCAACACGGGAAAACUUACCAGGUCCAGACAAAAUUAGGAUUUACAGAUUGAUAGCUCUUUAAAGAUUUUUUGGAUGGUGGUGCAUGGCCGUUCUUAGUUCGUGGAUUGAUUUGUCAGGUUGAUUCCGGUAACGGACGAGACCCCAACCUACUAACUACGCUCUAGCUGUUUUACAGCUAGCCAGUCUUCUUAGAGGGACUCUCGGUGUUGAGCCGAUGGAGGUGGGGCAAUAACAGGUCUGUGAUGCCCUUAGAUGUCCUGGGCCGCACGCGCGCUACACUGAUGCAUUCAACGAGCCUACCCUUGUCCGAGAGGUCUGGGUAAUCUGUGAAACUGCAUCGUGAUGGGGCUAGAUUAUUGCAAUUAUUGAUCUUCAACGAGGAAUGCCUAGUAAGCGCGAGUCAUCAACUCGCGUUGAUUACGUCCCUGCCGUUUGUACACACCGCCCGUCGCUCCUACCGAUUGGGUGUGCUGGUGAAAUGUCCGGAUUGGGUGGUGUCCCGGCUUGCCGGGUAUCCGUUCGAGAAGCGCAUUGAACCCUCUCACCUAGAGGAAGGAGAAGUCGUAACAAGGU
This 1742-nucleotide ribosomal RNA is filed under the name Cladophora sp. Tateyama. RNAcentral describes it as "SSU rRNA". It matches the Rfam family "Eukaryotic small subunit ribosomal RNA". RNAcentral also lists the same sequence under 1 other name. The record is from RNAcentral. Lineage: Eukaryota; Viridiplantae; Chlorophyta; Ulvophyceae; Cladophorales; Cladophoraceae.